UAGGGAAUCUUCCACAAUGGACGAAAGUCUGAUGGAGCAAUGCCGCGUGAGUGAAGAAGGUUUUCGGAUCGUAAAGCUCUGUUGUAAGGGAAGAACAAGCGUGGGAGUAACUGCCCGCGCCAUGACGGUACCUUAUUAGAAAGCCACGGCUAACUACGUGC
Molecule: ribosomal RNA, 161 nt
Filed under: uncultured bacterium
Lineage: Bacteria
Description: partial 16S ribosomal RNA
Rfam family: Bacterial small subunit ribosomal RNA
Source: RNAcentral